CGAAGGGUGCAAGCGUUACUCGGAAUUACUGGGCGUAAAGCGUGCGUAGGUGGUUCGUUAAGUCUGAUGUGAAAGCCCCGGGCUCAACCUGGGAACUGCAUUGGAUACUGGCGAUCUGGAGUGCGGUAGAGGGUGGCGGAAUUCCCGGUGUAGCAGUGAAAUGCGUAGAUAUCGGGAGGAACAUCCGUGGCGAAGGCGGCCACCUGGACCAGCACUGACACUGAGGCACGAAAGCGUGGGGGAGCAAACAGGAUU
RNAcentral lists this ribosomal RNA (255 nucleotides) under uncultured bacterium. RNAcentral describes it as "partial 16S ribosomal RNA". It matches the Rfam family "Bacterial small subunit ribosomal RNA", at positions 526 to 779 of the family's 1533-position model. The record is from RNAcentral.